This is a long non-coding RNA of Catharus ustulatus (Swainson's thrush), 5327 nucleotides long. RefSeq lists it as uncharacterized. Lineage: Eukaryota; Metazoa; Chordata; Aves; Passeriformes; Turdidae. The record is from RefSeq and is a predicted model, not a curated record. The transcript has 3 exons.
CCCCGGGAUAAACCCCGGGAUGAACCCCGGGCAUAAACCCCGAGCUCCUGGGGUGCCUGCUUUGGCACCCGCUUUGCCAUGCAAGUGCUGACAGCCGUCGAAGGGCCCGGCCAUGCCGUGGGGGUGACCCUGACACCCAGCGCUGCACAGGCCUCGGGACGUGGCCCUGCAUAGCGGUGUUCGGGAAGUGUCCUAUCCUGAGGUCAAACAGCAAGGGAAUAGUGAGAAGAGCCACUGAAGGAACUGUUCCUGUGCUCAUACGCAUGAUUUGAGUGGGGAAGUGCCACACUUUGGACACAUAUUCCAUGUGCAAGGAAAAUCCUGUCACUCUUGAAAAGCCUAGAAGACAAUGGAGGAGGGCAAGAUUCCUGUUCCUGAGAUGACACAAAGGCAGAGUGAAGUUGUUCCUCACAGAGCACAAGGAGUGAGGAAAAGAUUUCAGAAAAGGAACAUGAAAGUGCAUUGUGGCUGUACAGUGUAGUAAAAUUUUCUAAGACUCUAUGUGGGGGACUGUACAGGGUUGGAUACAAAAAGUGUGCAAAUUCAAAGACUGGACUCUGAAAAAAAUUCAAGACAUCUUUAUUUUCAUAAAUUAUAGUGCACAACUAGCUCAAUAAAAUGUAACCAGCGUACCUCAGAAAAAAACCAAAUAUUUUGGUAUGACAUUUCUUAUAUGAAGGGACACUGGAAAAUCCAAUCACACAAACAGAUGAACAAAGAACAACAUGAAAUAAGACAACCUUUAUAAAAAUUUUGACAGGAAGCCAUACCUGACUGUACUAGGAAUUGGAAGAUGCAAAUAGAAUAUGGUUUUGGAGGCAGAAAUAAGUGAUAAUGACCAGCCGAAGAUUGAAAUAUUUAUUGAAUAAACAAGGUAAGAUUCAAGUGCAAUGUGUGCUGGCAAAUUAAAGAAAACAAGAACAAAAAAAAUAAACAGGAGUUAACCACUAGCUUUCCUUCAUAUUGUCUGAAGAAUAUACACAAAGUAACUAGAGCAUGAGAGUACCAUGUUAAAAACCACUACAGAUAAAUCCCCCUAAAACCAGAUGAAACACUAGAUUAUAUUCCAAGACUCUAGUUAAUUUUAGCUAUCAGUGAUAUCAAACCUUUCCCCCUAAUCCCUGUUUAGGGAGCAAAACUAACCUUCUCAUGGACUGGCAUUUAUUUUACGUGCAACAUAGGAAGAUGAACUUCGGUGACUGAUAAAUUCACAAAGUCCUCUAUGAAGUGAUGUGAGCCAUGGCCUAAGGAAAUGAACAGAACUCCGAAAGGACUCAAACGGUCUGACACUGUCACUAUCCUUUCAGUUCCAUAGAGGAGGGAGUAUGAGGUGAUUAUCAAUCAGAAUUAAACUUCUGACAGUCAAGAGGUUCCUUUUUAGCAUGGAUAUGAGAUUAGCGACUCUUGACAGGAUGGUUUUUUGUAUUAAGUUAUCCCACAAACAUUAGAUAGUGUCUAUAACCAUCAACAGCGGAGGGGGUCAGUUGAACUCAUGGUGUUUUCCAAACAUUUCUCACAAUUUUUUGGCUUUAUUAAGUAUCAGAACAAAAUGAUUUGUACAUCUGAAUCUGUGCAGACUCCUAAACCGUGUUUCCAAAUCAUAAUGAAAAAGCCAGUAGUAAUUUUUUGUUUUGAAGAUUGGUGCACAGGGAGUCAUACAGAUCUCAUUAACAAAGUGGAACACACAUAUUCCUACACUUAAUGCAAAUGUUCAAAGAGUGUAUAAUGACUUACUAUUUCAAGGAAUUAAAUGAAAUAUUCCUUAAAGCUAUUGUAACACAGAUGACCCCUGCAAUUAUUUUUAUGCAAGAGCAUUUUAGUCCAGUUCUACUUCACAGCUGCAAAAAGGUAAAUAGUUAUGCGAUCAAGGCAAAUAAAGACCACAUACAAGAAAUAACAUUUCCUGAGUGACAUAGCAGCAAUUUAUAGGUAAGAACAUUGGAUAUAACCAGUAUCCAACUUACAGUCUGUCCUCUAACCAAAAUGACUGAACCCCACUCUGAGAUGUCACGGUUGCAGCAGCUCGUGGCAAGACUAUUUAGUCUCACUUCCUUAGAGGUCUCUGAUGAACUUUAACCUACGCUUUCUCUUGAGUAAAAACCAGGGAAAACCUAAUCAUGCUUGUAUAUAUUCAGUACAUACUGAAAAGCUAUUUUAAAACUUUAUUAAGACUUAAAAGUGGAACUCAGGACUUGUACUGACUGUUCUAGAACUUUAUUCCACAGGCAUUAGCAGAUUUUGUAUCCUAAGAACAAUUUCAGGAUAGAAAUUCAGUACAGACAGAAGAAUUAUUCCUCUUCUUACAUUACUACUGAAGCAAAUUACAGAGUAAGUAAAGAAUGAUUUUGGUAAGUCCCAAGGAAUGCAUUUUCCAUUAGUUUUGAAAGUGUAACCUUUAAAUUCAAUAGAAAAAGUCUUCAUGCCCCACAUGCAUGAAUGGAAAAAAUAAGAACUCAAGUAGCCAAAAAAAAUCCUACUUAUUUCCCAUGGCUUUUAACCAAAGACUUUAUGGUUUGUGGCAUAAAAUGUCCUUCACAGUUACCAAGCUGAAAUCUUGUUAGUAUAUAUUAAUUACAUAAAUUUUAUUUCCUUUAAAAUUAGUAUCAAUUAGACAACUGGUUUUAAAACUGUUUUCUUUCAUCCCAGGAAAGCUGAGCAUUUCAUAAAAUAAACAGGAAAAGGCCACAGAGUCAAACAGUUUUUUGAUGAAUAAGCCAAAUAUGAGUUUAGAUUUAACAAUGAAAUAAUGGAUAGGAAAAAAAAUCAGAAGAUACAGGUAAGUCAUACAUUUCUACUAUUUAUUCCUAAUGACUUUGUUGGAAAUACUGACUAGACAUCUAUGGAAAAACUGCCCACUCAUCAGAGUAAAGAAAGUCAAACAUUAUGCUUUUCCAGCUCUCUUGCUGCUCUACUGCAAUGACCUGAAAACCCUGCAUAGCUGCCCUCCUGAUCUCUCCAACUGCACUAGAAAGGUAGAAGAUAGUAAAUCUCAGAAAGGAAGAGAAGAAUGACCAGGCAAUGAACGCGUGAUAUGCUCACAUUAAUGAACUCUGAUUACUGGUAAGCAACUCUGAUCUCAGUAUUUCUCAUUAAAUACAUGUAUGGUGCUUUUGAAAAAAAUCUCACAAAAUUUUAAGUCAGGCAAAUUUCCAUGUGUAGAUGUAUCUGUUAUUGUUCCACCCUCUUCUAUUCAGUUCCACUGAUUAAAUCUCAAGGCACAGCUACUUUUGUUUUGCCCAGCAAGGUAUCAUAAAAAUGAGACAAAAAUAUCCUCUCGAUAACAGCAUGAGACUGAGAGAUUGCAGAGGAAAACAAGGUCAAAUGAAAACAAGUUCCACAGUUUGCUGAAAGAAAACCACACCACCUUAAAGUGUAGCUAUUCUGAGGAACGAAUGCAGAACUGAUAAAAAAAAAAUCUCAUACACACAAGAACCAAAUCCCCCUCUCUAGAAGUUUUAAGAAUGCCUCAUCAAUUCAAUACAGAAACAUUUUUCACCAGCCAACUUAUUUUUUCCAGUAAGUCAUUAUUUUAUUAAAACCUAAUGGAUUAUCCUAGAACUAAUAGGCCCUACGAUGAUGCUAAACUAUUUCGACAGAAUGCCAAGUCUUUUGACAAUUUUCAGCAUUUUGAAUUCAAAUAUCCUGCCUCAUUUUACUUCUACAGUUCUGAUGAAAUAUGCUUUUUAUUAAGCAAAAUUUGAAGCAGAACAAGGAAGCCAUAAUUCAUUUCCAAAUGAAAACCUCAAAAGAAGAAAAAGGUUUCACUAAGAUCCAUCAGUCAUAUUUUACCUUUUGUUUUUUUUCUGGGUUGGAUCCAACCUAUAAAUUUUGGAUUAGUCGUGUUGACAAAGUAAUGGAAAACUCAAGUGUGCUUCAAGUUCCUUGUUGAUAAUUACACCAAGACAGUUUUUCCACAGGGAAAAUGGAGUAAGAUUACUCCGGCUAUCCCUCCAGAAGCAACACAUACUAAUUGUUUACUAUAAAAGACAAAAUGUUCAGAGAUUACAUUCUGAAUGUAGUCACAUACUUCCUUCAGCUUUGUUUCCAUGUUCUGGACCUCUCCUGAAGAUCCCAUGUGUCAAGCAUGCACUGUAUAAUGGAUCAAAAUUUUCCAUGAGUACAUCCUGAGUUCAAUCUCAGGUUUAUGAAAUAGGUUUUCUGAGGUAUCAGUGAACUGUUAAUAAGAAGCCACUGUAUCAAACUUUACUGAAAGCCAAAUCAGCAUAGCUCACCCAGAAUUCGUGAACAUCUGGGAUUUUGCAUGUGCUUUAAAUCAGAGUCAGGUGUUACUUUUAUUGACAAGAAAUCUAGAGUACAAUGAUUGUCCAGAUAUAAGAAAUUAAGAUGAUUGCCAGAAAGGGUUUUCCACACUACAACAAAAAACCCCAGAAGACAGUCUCAAAGAAAACUUUUACUCACAUAAACACACUGGAUCACAUUCUUUCUUUUUGUUAAUGAGUUCCUCACUAAUAGGUAAAAAUAUGCAUUUUCAGCUGUUUUCUGAUUAUUUUUAACAUUAGACCAAGCCUGAUGCAGUAACAAUAUGUAUUUUUACUUUUUCCUCAGCCAGAGUACAUCCUUAAUAAAGUUCUUGGACAGCUAAUUUCAGUGGUGGAGCUGCCAUAAACAAAGCUAAUAGCUUUACUGUUAAAUUCAGGCCAACACUUACAUUUGUAUUGUAUAUGCAUUAAACAAUCAUAGAAUCGUUAAGGUUGGAAAAUCCUCUGAGAUCAUUGAGUCCAAACACUAAUUUAACACUGCCAGGUCUGUCCCUAAGCACCACAUCCAUAAGGUUUUUGAACACAGUGAUCACACUGCUUUCCUGGGCAGCCUGUUCCAAUGCUAGACCACCCUUUUAGAGAAGAAUUUUUCCCAAAUAUCCAAUCUGAACCUCCUCUGGCACAACUUGAGGCCAUUUCCUCUUGUCCUAUCUCUUGUUGGCUGGGAGACUGACCCCCACCUGGCUACAGCCUUCUUUCCGGUGGUUGUAGAGAGGAAUACUGUCCCCUCCCGAGUCUUCUUUCUCCAGGCUGAACAACCUCGGUUCUCUCAGCUGCUCCUCAUAGGACUUUUGCUCCAGACCCCUCACUAGCUGCACUGCCUUCUCUGGACAUGCUCCAGCACCUCAGUGUCUUCCUUGUCCUGAGCAGCACAAGACUGAACAAAGGAUUCAAGGUGCCAAGUACAGAAGGACAAACCCUUCCUUAUUCCUGCUGACCACACUACUUCUUGUGGCCUUAUUAACCCAACAUAAAUAAAAAUAAAUAUAAAAAUUAGAACUUAGAUGUUGAAUUUCACUCGCUAGAGUCUGUAGUACCAAAUUUAUC